AUUGAACGCUGGCGGCAUGCCUAACACAUGCAAGUCGAGCGGAUGAAGGGAGCUUGCUCCUGGAUUCAGCGGCGGACGGGUGAGUAAUGCCUAGGAAUCUGCCUGGUAGUGGGGGAUAACGUCCGGAAACGGGCGCUAAUACCGCAUACGUCCUUAGGGAGAAAGGGGGGGAUCUUCGGACCUCACGCUAUCAGAUGAGCCUAGGUCGGAUUAGCUAGUUGGUGGGGUAAAGGCCUACCAAGGCGACGAUCCGUAACUGGUCUGAGAGGAUGAUCAGUCACACUGGAACUGAGACACGGUCCAGACUCCUACGGGAGGCAGCAGUGGGGAAUAUUGGACAAUGGGCGAAAGCCUGAUCCAGCCAUGCCGCGUGUGUGAAGAAGGUCUUCGGAUUGUAAAGCACUUUAGGUUGGGAGGAAGGGCAGUAAGUUAAUACCUUGCUGUUUUGACGUUACCAAAAGAAUAAGCACCGGCUAACUUCGUG
Molecule: ribosomal RNA, 484 nt
Filed under: uncultured bacterium
Lineage: Bacteria
Description: partial 16S ribosomal RNA
Rfam family: Bacterial small subunit ribosomal RNA
Source: RNAcentral